This 66-nucleotide transfer RNA is filed under the name Apatania zonella. RNAcentral describes it as "tRNA-Leu". It matches the Rfam family "tRNA". Rfam says of the family: Transfer RNA (tRNA) molecules are approximately 80 nucleotides in length. Their secondary structure includes four short double-helical elements and three loops (D, anti-codon, and T loops). RNAcentral also lists the same sequence under 4 other names. Lineage: Eukaryota; Metazoa; Arthropoda; Insecta; Trichoptera; Apataniidae. The record is from RNAcentral.
UCUAAUAUGGCAGAAUAAAUGCUUUGGAUUUAAACCCCAAAAAUAAAGAUCAAUCUUUUUUUAGAA